Molecule: ribosomal RNA, 474 nt
Filed under: uncultured bacterium
Lineage: Bacteria
Description: bacterial SSU rRNA
Rfam family: Bacterial small subunit ribosomal RNA
Source: RNAcentral
ACUCCUACGGGAGGCAGCAGUAGGGAAUCUUCCACAAUGGGCGCAAGCCUGAUGGAGCAACACCGCGUGAGUGAAGAAGGGUUUCGGCUCGUAAAGCUCUGUUGUUAAAGAAGAACACGUAUGAGAGUAACUGCUCAUACGUUGACGGUAUUUAACCAGAAAGUCACGGCUAACUACGUGCCAGCAGCCGCGGUAAUACGUAGGUGGCAAGCGUUAUCCGGAUUUAUUGGGGCGUAAAGAGAGUGCAGGCGGUUUUCUAAGUCUGAUGUGAAAGCCUUCGGCUUAACCGGAGAAGUGCAUCGGAAACUGGAUAACUUGAGUGCAGAAGAGGGUAGUGGAACUCCAUGUGUAGCGGUGGAAUGCGUAGAUAUAUGGAAGAACACCAGUGGCGAAGGCGGCUACCUGGUCUGCAACUGACGCUGAGACUCGAAAGCAUGGGUAGCGAACAGGAUUAGAUACCCUGGUAGGAUAGCG